CAGCCGGAUGUGCGGUUUGAAGGCUUUCUGCGGGAGCGGCUUGUUUACAGGCUGAAUAUUUGAUAUUUAAUAAGUAAUAGAGAGUGAUAUCUGGCGGCAGAGAGCGGUCUUACUGCGGAGAUGGACUCACUGCAGCUGUUCCUGGAUCAGAUGGAACCCAGCGGGGACGCCGAAUCUGUCUGGUUGAAGGAGAUCUUCAGCUUCGUCUCAGAACAUCUGUGUCCCGUCCUCUCUGGCCCCGCCCCCUCUGCUGCUGACGGCUUGUUGACAGAUUUUACUAUCCAUGUGUAAGGAGAGAGCUGCGUAUGUAAGCCUAGAUAUUCCUUCAGCCUUGGGGGAGAUGUGUGUGCUGAUCAGCUGAGUGUGUGUUUGGUGAAGAAGAUCCAGGAACACACAACCCUCACACACACUUUACCUGUCAGCUACAGGCUGGUGUCUGUCUCGGAGCUCCUCUCCCGGCAGCGCGUGGCGUCGUCAGCAACCUCUCCUGGAGCACCAAUCAGCAGCGGCGUGGGCCAAGGAGGCGGGGCUUAGUGUGCCCGGUCAGCGGGCCCUGCCGCGCGUCAACCUGCUUCUGAUUGGCUGUCUGAGAGACGGGGGGGGCGGAGCCUGGAGGCUGGAGGACGCCAGCGGCAACGUCAGCUGGGAGUGCCUGUCUCCCUCUCCUCUGUGGCUGAAUCGUCCCGUCUUCCUCCCUCACUGGAACUACAUCCCCCACAAUGCCCCGGGGCCGGCUGAGGCCGGAGGCUGCGUGGAGCUGAUUGGUUCUCCGGUUCUGCUGAGUCGUGAGCAGGGAUUGGCUGCCGUGCCUGGAGGGGCGGGGCUUAGCGGAGCAGUGGGAGUCAGAGAGGCUGCAGGGAUACUGACC
This is an RNA transcript of Perca flavescens (yellow perch), 868 nucleotides long. It is a transcript of the gene named CST complex subunit CTC1, with no coding region annotated. Lineage: Eukaryota; Metazoa; Chordata; Actinopteri; Perciformes; Percidae. The transcript is spliced from 6 exons. The record is from RefSeq and is a predicted model, not a curated record.